UAGGGAAUCUUCCGCAAUGGACGCAAGUCUGACGGAGCAACGCCGCGUGAGUGAAGAAGGAUUUCGGUUCGUAAAACUCUGUUGUUCGAGAAGAACAGCGCAUAGAGUAACUGUUAUGCGUGUGACGGUAUCUAACCAGAAAGCCACGGCUAACUACGUGCCAGCAGCCGCGGUAAUACGUAGGUGGCAAGCGUUGUCCGGAUUUAUUGGGCGUAAAGCGAGCGCAGGCGGUCAAUUAAGUCUGAUGUGAAAGCCCCCGGCUCAACCGGGGAGGGUCAUUGGAAACUGGUUGACUUGAGUGCAGAAGAGGGGAGUGGAAUUCCAGGUGUAGCGGUGAAAUGCGUAGAUAUAUGGAGGAACACCAGGGGCGAAGGCGACUCUCGGGUCUGUAACUGACGCUGAGGCUCGAAAGCGUGGGUAGCAAACAGG
RNAcentral lists this ribosomal RNA (429 nucleotides) under Bacteroidota bacterium. Its description in RNAcentral is "Bacteroidetes bacterium partial 16S ribosomal RNA". It matches the Rfam family "Bacterial small subunit ribosomal RNA", at positions 355 to 776 of the family's 1533-position model. The record is from RNAcentral. Lineage: Bacteria; Pseudomonadati; Bacteroidota.